This 330-nucleotide ribosomal RNA is filed under the name uncultured sulfate-reducing bacterium. RNAcentral's name for it is "partial 16S ribosomal RNA". The record is from RNAcentral.
CACACCCCCGGGUCGAACCCAGCGGAUGGGCGCUUGGUGAAAGGCGGUCAAGGACGACACUCGUACGAAGAAUUUCCCAGGACAAUCAACCCUGCCCCGGCCAGAGUGCAGGAUCGCCCUGGGCCUGCUGCCUCAACAUGUGCGGCGCCGGNUGCAUGGCUCCGAACAUCGCCAUCCUGGGCUAUCCACCGGCAGGCCGCCCAAGAAUCGACUCACGACGGCGAUGAACCAAGAUGUGCGAAAUCCCCGACCGAUCGAUCGCCGGCCAUGUCCCCACCGGGGCCAUCCAGACCCGACGACGGUAGCCGGCGGCUCCACGUCAAAAAGAGA